This 496-nucleotide ribosomal RNA is filed under the name uncultured bacterium. Its description in RNAcentral is "partial 16S ribosomal RNA". It matches the Rfam family "Bacterial small subunit ribosomal RNA", at positions 29 to 507 of the family's 1533-position model. The record is from RNAcentral.
AUGAACGCUGGCGGCGUGCCUAAUACAUGCAAGUCGAGCGAACAGACGAGGAGCUUGCUCCUCUGACGUUAGCGGCGGACGGGUGAGUAACACGUGGAUAACCUACCUAUAAGACUGGGAUAACUUCGGGAAACCGGAGCUAAUACCGGAUAAUAUAUUGAACCGCAUGGUUCAAUAGUGAAAGACGGUUUUGCUGUCACUUAUAGAUGGAUCCGCGCCGCAUUAGCUAGUUGGUAAGGUAACGGCUUACCAAGGCAACGAUGCGUAGCCGACCUGAGAGGGUGAUCGGCCACACUGGAACUGAGACACGGUCCAGACUCCUACGGGAGGCAGCAGUAGGGAAUCUUCCGCAAUGGGCGAAAGCUUGACGGAGCAACGCCGCGUGAGUGAUGAAGGUCUUCGGAUCGUAGAACUCUGUUAUUAGGGAAGAACAAAUGUGUAAGUAACUAUGCACGUCUUGACGGUACCUAAUCAGAAAGCCACGGCUAACUACGUG